UAAGGUCCAGUAGAUCACCUAAUCCAUUCAUUUCUACAAUUCAGAGCAAUAUUCUAACCGAAUUUCUUAAAUGUUUCAUCCACUACUAUUCAACAACAUAUGAAUUGUUAGCUCACUUACUUGCUUUGACAAAUUAUUCUUCUGCCUUGAAUAUACAUUGUUGUAACUUUCCCUAUGCUAGUGUUUAUUUUUAAUUUCUUACUCUGUUUACUUAUUAACCAACUUUAUUACACCACUAAUACUUGCCCUUUUUUUACACAGGCAUGAACUCUGGACUUUGAAAAGCAGAAGCAGCAGUUCAUUUUUUGUUUUUGUUUCUAUGGCUUGCAUUCUGAUAACCUGCUAUGCCAGAAUAAGUAUUAAAGCCUUUGUACAUGAAUAUAUUUUGUUUCAAGAUGCAAUUGAGAAUUAUAAUGCACAGAAAUAAUCUGUUUGGAAAAAUAUAUAUAUGUUAUUUUCCCAUCAUGAAGUUACAACGAAGUACUUAUCAUUAAUAAGUAGAGCACCUGGACUACUGAAACAGACUCUUCCUCCAAGAAGAAACACAAGUUUUUGACACUUGUGCAAGAACAUGCCUAGCACCAUUUCAGUGGGCCUUGCUAGGUUUCUCCGUGUGGGGCAUGAGGAGGUGUGGACCAGCCACGCGGCCCAGCGUGGGACUUGUGCCCAAGGUGCUCCUGCUGCGCUGAGGACCAGGGUUUUGCCUCGGGAGCGGGCCCCCGACGAGGCUGGAGGCCAGGCAGCGCAGGGAGCUCACGACUUGCUGUCUUCAACUACAGCCAGUUGUGAAUGCCAAGAGUACACUGCUACCUCCCUGAUAAAUUCUUCUGUCUUCAGCAAAGGAGAAUGCAUAUAAAGCUUGUCAGAUCUGAGGUGAGUAUUUUCAUGUUUAUAACAUCUCUACUGUUUCUUCCCUGUAGUUAAUCAGUAUAGAUAAGUAUUUGCUUUGUAAUGGAUUUUUUGAAUUUCAAUUAUCAGCUAAGGAACUAUCAGUUCCUUAUACCUAAGCAUUUUUUCAGCUUAUAUUUCAACUUUUGACUUACAGUAUUAAGUUCUAAACAUAAUAGGAGAUGGUAAGUAAUUUAAAAAUGCAUAAUGUUACAUUAUUGAGUCCUCUUCAUAAUGUAAUUUUCUGAAGAGGACUGCUUUUUUAGAAACACGUAUAACCUAAGGGAACAGAUCUUUCCUUUUUUUAGGCCAGAUUGAGCUUUCUAAAAGUUACAAUGUCAGUACUUUGAGUAAAUGUACGUAUUAUUUUCAGCCAUUAAAAUGGAACAAAUGCUGCUAGUUACCCUCUUCCCAAAAAGAAGUAUUUCAUUUCUUUGUGGUUUUGCUCUAGUUUAUUUUUGCUUCAGUUCACCAGGCACUGUUAGAACAUUUUCAUCAUUUGAAAUAGUUAUUUCAAAAUUGAGCAACCUAUUUGGAAAAGAGAAGCAAAGUUUCGUCUCUCUUAAUUGCAAACUAUGAGUAAAAAAUGACUGGAAGGGCUAUCAUUUAACAACUCUAAAUACAUGGGAAAAUGUACCAUACUUUCAAGAUUGUUUUUGACACCAAGUACAUACAGAAUUCUUCAUAGAGCAGAGCAAAGUCACAUCCCAUAGACCCAAGCUUGCAGUCAGUUGAAGGGAUGAUAAAUAUUAAUUUAUCCUAUUGAUUUCAGUAAGAGUGAGGUGUUUAUCCUACUCGGAUGCCUAAACUGAUUUUUCAAAAGGUGCUUCCAUGUCUUGCAGAAAAUCUGAGGAAUAUUGAGCAAAAAGAAUAACCCACUACUUUGAGAGUUAUACUUUUUUCAUCUGUAUCAGAAGUAUUUUAGAUACUCAUUUAAGUCAUGUAAAACAAGAUUCAAAUACUCUUAAAGCAUGUUAUUCCAUUCUCUUUCCUUCAGAAUGGAGACUGACAAGAAUUGUAAGCAAAAUACAAAACAAAAACCGGCAAGCAAAAAUAAUCAUCAUUCACAAUCUCCUAGACUAUCAGUUAAGAAUCUGAGUCUAUAAGUACAUUAUAUAUUUUCCUGCUUAGAAAUAUGAAAACGUAUGUUUAAUGUUAGGGUUUCCGUCACUUGAAUUUUUGUGUUGUUUUUUUUUUAGUGGUAAUGUGAACUAGAAAAAAUUACCUUUUCUUAAGAAAAUAACUGAGAUAUAAACUGAAAUAAAAUAAAGGUCCUUGAUUUAAAUCGGUGUUUUUUUCACUCACUGAUAUUUAAUUCAGGACAAAAUGUGACUUAAAUUUCUUUGAGAUAAAUUAUUCUGUCCCAGUUCUUGGACGCCAGCAUACCUUCGAUAUGAGCACUGAGCUGUUAGGAUAGGUACUGGCAAAAGCGUUCAGAUCCUAGAAAGCGCAGAAGAUAGCUACUAGCCCUCCAUCUCAAUGAGUCAUGUUAUUGUUGAAAAGUCACUUUGACUAAGUGUAAUACAGAGCUUGAGUUAGCUUUCUCAACGUUUAUACAUUAGUUUGCAUUCAAUGUAGUGAUUAUUGUGUUUUUGUUAAAGUUGUCAUAUAUGCACAGCACAUAAAUUUGCAUUAUAGUGAAGUCGUUCAUUUUUACCUGUAUGAAACCUACUAGAAAACUACUUUGUCCUUAUGAUGACCCAAUUGUCUUGAAAUCACACACAUUUUAAAAUAAGACCUGAAAUAUUUAUGUCAUUUAAAUUAAGCAAAAUAAUCUACAGGCAUCCAUAAAAUGUCACAAAUCUGAGAGUCAUUUUCAGUUACACAAGGGCAGAAGAUGAGUGGGGGUUUGUCCUUAAGAAAGAGAGAGAGAGAGAGAGAGAAAAGAAGGAAUUGUUUUAAAAGUAGAACAUUGGAAAAGUUUUACAAAGAUUCCCUUGCAAAAAAUGUCACAUAGACGCUUGGAGAAUAUGUGUAUUAGUAGUAAAUAUGCUCUAGACCUUCCUAUUGUAUCACCAUACAUUUAUAAUAUGUUCAGGCACUGUUUGACAACCCCUAGCCAACAUAAUAAAUGUUAGUAGCAUAGGGUUUCUUGAACACAAUACACAAGUCAAGUGUAUUUGAGUAUGGAAUAGUAGAAGAAAGAGAGUAGAAAAAUGAGUAAAGCUGUCUGGAGUACAUAUCUUCAGGUAUCCAACAGCUGAAAACUGGUUUCACAAAGCUAAAGUUAAAUGUGUAUAUUAGAAAGAAUAGCUUCGCUUUGUGUUCUGGUCAGCUAGAGAGAACCGAUCAGAACAAAGCUCCCAUCUUUGUCAGCCCCAGCAUGUACAUCACAUAUAUACAUACACUAUGUUUCUGGUGAGAGGAAUAAGCCAGUCCCCCUCAUUGAACAGGAGUGUGAGGGCAGAGACUUCCCCCGUCUCUCUCAUCAUUCAGGAGCGCUAGACCCCAAAUGCUUCAUCACAUCUUGAAAAACUUUACAUCGAAAAAUUCCAGCUUUUCUGGAAGGAUGAGGGUGUUCCUGAGAUAAAGUUGUUAGUGAAGAUUUCUCCCAGAAUCAGGCCAAAUUUCAUAUUUUCAUUGUAUUUUCUUCAAGUUUUAUUGUAGUAUACUGUGAUAAGCUUGUGUUUCAACUUCUGCAGAAAAUGACUGCUGAACUGACUCCUUAAAAUCUUUUUAAUCUCAAAGGUAUCUACACAGUCUUCAUGAAGGUUAUCUAUUAGAAACCAUUAGGCUUUUUGAGAUUGAAGUCGAUCCAAGAAAAUCCCAUUUUCACUUCAAAAAGAAUUCAAGAAUCUCCUCUCUGGGACUGAAGGGAAACUUCUUGGAUUGUAUUUAGGGAGGAAGCUUUAGUUUUCUUCAAAAUAAAUUAAGUUCUGAUACACUUCCACUUGAGGCUUCUUUGGUUUGCAAGACUAAAGUCUUUGUCAGAAAUCUGCUCAACAACAACCACUUUCUUCAACAAUAUUUAACAGUAUCAUACAGCCUACUGGCCAGCCACAGACCGAAGCUAGUUCAUUUGUAUGCAGAAGCACCCUUUAGUACACUCAGGCAUAUAGAGGUAACUCAGCAAACUAGCCAACAGACAGAGAUUCAUUUAUUCAAAGCCAUUUUGGUAAUGGAAAGUUGGCCUGAUUUCUGGAAAACAGACCUUGGUUCCUAAAUUUCUGGGCUAUAAAAAUAACACUAAAAGCUUUGCUGAGAGUUCAUAAAAUGUCAUGUUUUUUAAACGGCACCUACUUGACUCUCCAGCCUGCUCCACAUUCCAGCAGAUUUCUGUGUUGGCCAUGCCAUCUCCAGCAUCUUGCCUCCUGGGACAUUACUCAGAAUAGCACAGAAUCUGA
This is a long non-coding RNA of Cygnus olor (mute swan), 4232 nucleotides long. RefSeq lists it as uncharacterized. The record is from RefSeq and is a predicted model, not a curated record. Lineage: Eukaryota; Metazoa; Chordata; Aves; Anseriformes; Anatidae. The transcript is spliced from 7 exons.